CAGUAGCCGCGGUAAUACGUAGGUGGCAAGCGUUGUCCGGAAUUAUUGGGCGUAAAGGGCUCGCAGGCGGUUUCUUAAGUCUGAUGUGAAAGCCCCCGGCUCAACCGGGGAGGGUCAUUGGAAACUGGGAAACUUGAGUGCAGAAGAGGAGAGUGGAAUUCCACGUGUAGCGGUGAAAUGCGUAGAGAUGUGGAGGAACACCAGUGGCGAAGGCGACUCUCUGGUCUAUAACUGACGCUGAGGAGCGAAAGCGUGGGGAGCGAACAGAAUUAGAUACCCCGGUAGUCCCUGUCUCUUAUAA
This 301-nucleotide ribosomal RNA is filed under the name uncultured bacterium. RNAcentral's name for it is "partial 16S ribosomal RNA". It matches the Rfam family "Bacterial small subunit ribosomal RNA", at positions 509 to 809 of the family's 1533-position model. The record is from RNAcentral.